RNAcentral lists this ribosomal RNA (378 nucleotides) under Acinetobacter baumannii. Its description in RNAcentral is "bacterial SSU rRNA". It matches the Rfam family "Bacterial small subunit ribosomal RNA", at positions 449 to 826 of the family's 1533-position model. The record is from RNAcentral. Lineage: Bacteria; Pseudomonadati; Pseudomonadota; Gammaproteobacteria; Moraxellales; Moraxellaceae.
UAGUUAAUACCUAGAGAUAGUGGACGUUACUCGCAGAAUAAGCACCGGCUAACUCUGUGCCAGCAGCCGCGGUAAUACAGAGGGUGCGAGCGUUAAUCGGAUUUACUGGGCGUAAAGCGUGCGUAGGCGGCUUAUUAAGUCGGAUGUGAAAUCCCCGAGCUUAACUUGGGAAUUGCAUUCGAUACUGGUGAGCUAGAGUAUGGGAGAGGAUGGUAGAAUUCCAGGUGUAGCGGUGAAAUGCGUAGAGAUCUGGAGGAAUACCGAUGGCGAAGGCAGCCAUCUGGCCUAAUACUGACGCUGAGGUACGAAAGCAUGGGGAGCAAACAGGAUUAGAUACCCUGGUAGUCCAUGCCGUAAACGAUGUCUACUAGCCGUUGG